RNAcentral lists this ribosomal RNA (474 nucleotides) under Everettia interior. Its description in RNAcentral is "partial 16S ribosomal RNA". It matches the Rfam family "Bacterial large subunit ribosomal RNA", at positions 1796 to 2620 of the family's 2925-position model. The record is from RNAcentral. Lineage: Eukaryota; Metazoa; Mollusca; Gastropoda; Stylommatophora; Ariophantidae.
UCGCCUGUUUAACAAAAACAUAGCUUUAUGUAAAUUUAUAUAAAGUCUUACCUGCCCAAUGAUAUUAUUUAAUGGCCGCAGUACUUUGACUGUGCUAAGGUAGCAUAAUAAAUUGACUUUUAAUUAAGGUCUAGAAUGAAAGGAUAAAUGAAUAUUUACUGUCUCUUUAAAAUUUAAAUUAAUUUUCUUAAUAGGUGAAAAUUCCUUAAAAAAAAUUAAAUGGACGAGAAGACCCUAGGAGUUUAGAAAAUAAUUUUGUUGGGGCAACAUUAUAGUAAGAAACCUAUAAUAAAAUAAUUAUAUAUAACAAAACAUAUUAAUUUAAAGUAAGCUACCCUAGGGAUAACAGCAUAAUUUACUUAUAAAGCAAGUUUGUGACCUCGAUGUUGGAUUAGGGACUUUAAAUAUUAAAUAUAUUUAUUGACAUGUUCUGUUCGAACAUUUUAUACCUACGUGAUCUGAGUUCAGACCGGA